This 253-nucleotide ribosomal RNA is filed under the name uncultured bacterium. RNAcentral's name for it is "partial 16S ribosomal RNA". It matches the Rfam family "Bacterial small subunit ribosomal RNA", at positions 524 to 776 of the family's 1533-position model. The record is from RNAcentral.
UACGAAGGGGGCUAGCGUUGCUCGGAAUCACUGGGCGUAAAGCGCACGUAGGCGGCUUUGCAAGUCCGGGGUGAAAGCCCCCAGCUCAACUGGGGAAGUGCCUCGGAUACUGCGGAGCUCGAGGGAGGUAGGGGCGGAUGGAACUUCCGGUGGAGCGGUGAAAUGCGUUGAUAUCGGAAGGAACGCCGGUGGCGAAAGCGAUCCGCUGGCCCUCUACUGACGCUGAGGCGCGAAAGCCAGGGGAGCAAACGGG